CUAGAGAUGGGUUUCACCAUGGUGAUCAGGAUGGUCUCGAACUCCUGACCUCAAGUGAUCCACCCACCUUGGCCUCCCAAAGUGCUGGGAUUACAGGCGUAAGCCACUGUGCCCAGUCCCUAUUUUCCUUUUUCUACCUGUCUGCCCUCAGGUAGACACAAACCUCAUGCCCUCACCACCUUCAAGCCUCUACUCCAGUCUACUCCAGUACCCCUUCCCUGACCCCCGGGUCCCUCUUUUUUGUUUUCUCACUCUCUGUAGCACCUUCUACCACCAUCCACCCUCCUCCGUGUUUUAUUUAUUUUGUUGAUUUCUCCUUCAUUGAAAUGUCAGCUCCAGGCGGGCACGCAUCUUUGUUGUGUUCUCUGCUGACUAUAUCCUCAGCACCUAGAACUGUGUCUGUCACCUAAUAGAUGCUCAAUAAACCUGCCAGUAAUUUCAGCAAAUGAAACGUGGAACACGUCAAGGCCAGAGGAUGGAAAAGGCUCCAGUUUUGAUAAAAGGAGGCCUGCUUGGCUUGGAAUCCUCUCUCCUGCUGGUUGGGAGAUGCAAAGAUGUUUCCAGAGAGGGGCUGAUGAAUUGAGGGGAAAGAAAUGAGCCCAGUAUGAGUCCCCUUUCAGGGCUGAGCGUGUAUAAAACCAAACAACUUGGAACCGCUCCAAGAGAGGGGAUUAAAGCAACAUGUUAUUCUGAGUGAUUGCUUAAUUUAUUGAGCUGCGGCUGGAUCUGUAAUGAAAUACAGCCCUUGUAACUGAUAACCUCCUGCUGCCAUUGAACUUCUACAAUUAAGGAAUAUUUUCUGAGUUUCUCUGGAACGGCUCUGAAUUUUUAGCCUCUGUGGUAGGGUGCUUCUGAACAUUUGUUUUCCAGGCAAUUUUUUUUGAGUAUUAGGCUGAUGUUAAUAAAUAAGCAGCAUUUUAUUGAGUGUUUUGUGGGAACCAGGAACUUUAUAUACAUUGUUUCUAAUCCUGACACUAAUCCUGUCAAUAUCCAGUGAAAUAACCCCUAUUAUUCCCUAUUUUACAGAUGUGAAGCCACGAGACGUUAGGUCAUUUUCUAGAGUGGUGCUGUCCAAGACAGUAGCUGUGAUGGCUCCUUGUGGCUAUUGAUGUGUAAAUUAGUUAAAAUUAAAUAAAUUUUAACAUUUACACCCUAGGUUGCACUAACAAUGAGUUCAAGUGCCCAGCAGCCCCGUGUACUGUGGCUGAUGGCUACCACAUUGGACAGUGCAGAUAUAGACCAUUUGAAGGUUGCACAAGUGCUAUUGGUCAGCACUGACUUAGAUUUCCUUUUUUUUUUUUUUUUUGAGAUGGAGUCUCGCUCUAUUGUCCAGGUUGGAGUGCAGUGGUGCAAUCUCGGCUCACUGCAACCUCCGCCUCCUGGGUUCAAGUGAUUCUCCUGCCCCAGCCUCCUGAGUAGCUGGGACUACAGGUGCAUGCCACCACGCCCAGCUAAUUUUUGUAUUUUUAAUAGAGAUGGGGUUUCACUGGCCAGGCUGGUCUCGAACUCCUGACCUCAGGGGAUCCACCUGCCUCAGCCUCUCAAAGUGUUGGGAUUACAGGUGUGAGCCACCACGCCCAGCCAGGUUCAGAUUUCAUAGCUAGAACCUGGCAGUGCCAGAAUUCAAGCCGAAGCUAAUGGGCUUUGAAGGCAGAGUUCAUCUGCCAGCCUUGUUGCUUCUUUUUCUUCCCUCUGCUGAGAAGCAAGGAACAGAGCAGUGACUGUAUCCCCUGGCUACACAUUAGAAUUACCUGCAAUUCUUUUUUUUUUUGAGACGGAGUCUCACUCUGUAACCCAGGCUGGAGUGCAGUGGUGUGAUAUUGGCUCACUGCAACCUCCACCUCCCAGGUUCAAGCAAUUCUCCUGCCUCAGCCUUCCAAGUAGCCGGGAUUAUAGGCACACACCACAACGCCCAGCUAAUUUUUGUAUCUUUAGUAGAGAUGGGGUUUCGCCAUGUUGGCCAGGCUGGUCUCGAACUCCUGACGUCAGGUGAUCCACCCUCCUUGACCUCCCAAAGUGUUGGGAUUACAAGCAUGAGCCACCGCACCCGGCCUACCUACAAUUCUUUUUUUUUGAGAUGGAGUCUCGCUGUCUCCCAGGCUGGAGUGCAGUGGCGCGAUCUCAGCUCACUGCAAGCUCUACAUCCCGGGUUCAUGUCAUUCUCCUGCUUCAGCCUCCCGAGUAGCUGGGACUACAGGCGCCUGCCACCACGCCCAGCUAAUUUUUUGUAUUUUUAGUAGAGACGGGGUUUCACCAUGUUAGCCAGGAUGGUCUCAAUCUCCUGACCUCCUGAUCCUACCACCUCGGCUUCCCAAAGUGCUGGAAGCUGUGAGCUUUUUCCCAAAGUGCUAGAAGCUCUGAGCCGCCACGCCUGGCCCCUGCAAUUCUUUAAAAAAAAUGAUGGUAGGGUCCCAGGCCCAGAUAAUCUGACUUCACUGUGAUUAAGCCGGGUGGGGACAGGCAUCAGAGGUUUUUCUACUUCCCCAUGUGAUGCCACUGUGCAGCCAGCACGUAGAGCAGCUAGGCGUGAGGACCCACACAGAGGAUGCUGGAAGCAGCUGGUUCAUCUGCCAGGAGAAUGCAGUAUCUUGUGACCAAGAAGUGGGCUUCUCCCAGGGCCACUUCUAAACCACCUCAUCAGAGAGCUCAGGUUCAUAUCCGAGGGAAGAAACUGAAGUGCUUUCUCACACGCUUCCAGCUUGAUGAGAAUCACAGUAGGGAGCUUUGCUUUUCCAAACAGGCUUUGUCACAUGAUCAUGGAAGAAAGGAGAUGCCCACGUAAGAUCACAGAGACAAGGUGAAAAACCCGUAGCCCCGAAUUGGAAUUGGAAGCAUCAGUAUGAAUUCAUGCUAUAUUUUUGUCUUACAAAGUAAAGCAGGUGUUUGCUAGCUCUGUCAACCAUAAAGUUUAGAAAUAAUGAGCCAUCCAAUAGCAGUGAACACCCCAGCACCCAGGUUAUGGUGUCUAAACGCCACUUCCGACUAGAAAUGAGGGCAUGAAGAAAUAACCAAUUCCAGGUCUGAGGCAAGAAAAAAAAUUCAAGAUGAGCCUGGAACAUCUGGUCAUUCCUUGCUUCCUUGAUAGCAAGGAAGGUGAGGGUCACAUUGAAAAGGAUGCAGGAGACAACAUGGAGUGGCUCCCAAUGGGGAGAGUUUGAGCAUCAUUAACAAUAAUGGGCCGAGCGCGGUGGCUCACGCCUGUAAUCCCAGCACUUUGGGAGGCCGAGGUGGGUGGAUCACAAGGUCAGGAGAUGGAGACCAUCCUGGCUAACACAGUGAAACCCCGUCUCUACUAAAAAUACAAAAAAUUAGCCGGGUGUGGUGGUGGGGUACCUGUAGUCCCAGCUACUCGGGAGGCCGAGGCAGGAGAAUGGCGUGAACCCAGGAGGCGGAGCUUGCAGUAAGCCGAGAUCAGGCCACUGCAUUCCAGCCUGGGCAACAGAUCGAGACUCUGUCUCAGAAAAAUAAAUAAUAAUAAUAAUAAUAAUAAUAAUAAUAAUAAUGACUAUAGGCCAGGUGCGGUGGCUCACACCUGUAAUCCCAGCACUUUGGGAGGCCAAGGUGGGCAGAUCACUUGAGGUCAGGAGUUAGAGACCAGCCUGGCCAACAUGGUGAAACCCCAUCUCUACCAAAAAUAUAAAAAAUUAGCCGGGUGUGGUGGCAUACACAUGUAAUCCCAGCUACUUGGGAGGCUGAGGCAGAAGAAUCGCUUGAACCCAGGAGGCGGAAGUUGCAGUGAGCCAAGAUUGUGCCACUACACUCCAGCCUAGGUGACAGAGCAAGACGCCCAUCUCAAAAAAAAAAAAAAAAAAGAAUGACUUUAAUGGAUUGAAACAUGUCAUAUAUGUCCAAAUCUAUGAGUUGACAAUACUUAAAAAAAAAAAAAAAAAGAAAAAUUCAUUUAUCACCAUGGGAGGAUAUUGGAAAACCCAACUCAUUUUGAAAACUGUCAAAGAAAGGGAAAGAAGCAUUUAUCCUUUUUGGUACAAACCAUACUUUUUGGUAGCCAAAUAGUUGAUAAAUUGAUACCUUUUAUAGACAUAUGUCCACUACCAAAGACAGAAUCAUAGAAUUAGUAUGCCACCAUGUUGUAAUAUCUAAUGAAAUAAUGGGCCAGGUGUAGUGGCUCAUCCCUGUAAUCCCAACACUUUCGGAGGCCGAGAUGGGAAGAUUGUUUGAGGCCAGAAGUUCAAGACCACCCUGGGCAACACAGACCUGUCUAUGCAACAAGAUCCUGUCUCUACAAAAAAAAAAGAAAAAAAAAAAAUUAGCCAGGUUUGGGCAUGUGCCUGUAGUCCCAGCUGUUUGGAAGGCUCAGGUGGGAGGAUCCCUUGAGCCCAGGAGGUCAAGGCUGCAGUCAGCUAUGAUUGCACCACUGCACUCUAACCUAUGUGACAGAGCAAGACCCCUCAAAAAAAAAAAAAAAAAAGAAGAAGAAAUUGUGGAUCUAGACAAUGAUCAUCAACAACAGCUGCUAACAUUGCAAAGAGGAACAACCAGAUAGUGUGUGCCUUUGAAUGGAAGUACAAAACCACCAAUAGGAAGUACUCAUACAAAAAAAAAAAAAUCAAACAUCAAUCUAAGUUAUCUCCUAGGCCUAACUACCAAUUUCUAAGAAAUAUAGCGGGAAGAGGAGCACAUGACACUUCUAUGGAGAUGCUAUAACCAAAAUUCAGACCACAGGAAACUACAGAACAAACAAGCCAGUUUCUUCAACAAAUAAAUUGCAAAGGAAGAAAAAGACAAGGGAAGAGAACCUACAGGUUAGGAGAGAUACAAAAGCAAUCCCAACCGAUGGCAACAUUCGAACUUUAUUUGGAUCCUGAUUUUAACUAGCUAAAGAAACCCUUUAGCUGGGCGCGGUGGCUCACACCUGUAAUCCCAGCACUUUGGGAGGCCAAGCCGGGUGGAUCACAAGGUCAGGAGUUCAAGACCAGCCUGGCCAAGAUGGUGAAACCCCGUCUCUACUAAAAAUACAAAAAUUAGCCAGGUGCAGUGGCGUGCACCUGUAAUCUCAGCUAUUCAGGAGGCUGAGGCAGGAGAAUCUCUGAAACCCAGGAGUCAGAGGUUGCAGCGAGCUGAUAUCAUGCCACCGCACUCUAGCCUGGGCAACAGAGCAAGACUCCGUCUCAAAAAAAAAAAAAAGAAACGCUUUAUGAGAUAACCAGAGAAAUCUGAAUACUAACUGGGUAUUUGCUGAUAGUAAAAGCAUUACUGUUAUUAAAUAGUUUUAGGAGGAGUGAAGGUGGCCAAAAAAAAUUUUUUGGAGUUAUACAUUGAAAUGUUUGUAAAAGAAAUGACUGACGUCUGAAAUUUGCUUCAGAGUAAUCUGGGAUGAGGGAAGGGGAAGAGGGCGUGGAUGGAAUAAGGUUGGCUGAGACUUGACUGCUGAAGCCAGGCUUAUUGUACCACACGCUCCGUUCCUAUGUGUGCUUGAAGCUUUUCACAAUAAAAAGAAAAAAGAGGUAAAGACCAGCCUUUUCCUUCCUUUCUCUCAAUGCUUAGUGUGUCCACCCACUGCUGGCAUCUCUGGGACAAGCCUGGGUAGCAGGCUUGAGAUAGAUCUUCACGCAUCCCACCCCCGUCUCCAUGGCAACCAGUGGGGAGGGAAAGCUGCAUCCACAAAGUUCUGGUCCCCACAGGGGUGAGGCCAGGCCACCAGUGUCAUGCCAGGCCCUGUCUUGCUGCUCCCUUGGGAGAAUUCCCACCAGAACUGCCUCCCUGCACCCAUUC
This 5733-nucleotide long non-coding RNA is filed under the name Homo sapiens (human). RNAcentral describes it as "non-protein coding MIR193BHG:31". The record is from RNAcentral. Lineage: Eukaryota; Metazoa; Chordata; Mammalia; Primates; Hominidae.